Molecule: ribosomal RNA, 459 nt
Filed under: uncultured bacterium
Lineage: Bacteria
Description: partial 16S ribosomal RNA
Rfam family: Bacterial small subunit ribosomal RNA
Source: RNAcentral
CCUACGGGUGGCAGCAGUGAGGAAUAUUGGUCAAUGGUCGGGAGACUGAACCAGCCAAGCCGCGUGAGGGAUGAAGGUACUGCGUAUCGUACACCUCUUUUGUCAGGGAACAAAGUCGGGGACGCGUCCCCGGAUGAGUGUACCUGAAGAAAAAGCAUCGGCUAACUCCGUGCCAGCAGCCGCGGUCAUACGGAGGAUGCGAGCGUUAUCCGGAUUUAUUGGGUUUAAAGGGUGCGCAGGCGGUAUGGUAAGUCACGGGUAAAAGCCCGGGGCUACACCCCGGCCCGCCGUUGAAACUGGCAGUCUCGAGUUGGAGAGAAGUAUGCGGAAUGCGCGGUGUAGCGGUGAAAUGCAUAGAUAUCGCGCAGAACUCCGAUUGCGAAGGCAGCAUGCCGGCUCCACACUGACGCUGAGGCACGAAAGCGUGGGUAUCGAACAGGAUUAGAUACCCUUGUAGUC